GGCCCUUAUCAAUCCAUCACCCGCCCGGCUGGGCUUUAUAGCAGAUAAUAGGGUGGAGGGAGAAUUGAAAUAGAAACUAUCCAUUACAGGAGGCUGAAUGACAGGUUCCCUGUGCAAAAUAAGAUCAUAAUUAACAGGAGAGAGACAGAAAGUUUUCCGCUUUCUGCCGCUGUUUGUUUCCCUGUGUGGCUCUGUGGGGCAGGAUGGGCGUGAGAGGGGUGCUGAGGGGCUCAGGGCAGAGCCCCAGCACAGGCUGGUUUGCAGGUGUUGGAAGGAAACCAAAGCUACCCAGCAUGAAUAACUUCAUCAGCCAACUGAAAUAGGGCUGCCAGGAGCAGAGCCGAGCCUGCCAGCCCACUCUGCUCUGUGGAAUGUCUGAGGUGACUGGAAAAUCACCCCGUGUGAUGGAACGUGGCUCAGGGCUGAAGUAUCAGUACAGAUGUCUGGGGGGAACUGGAGCCUUUCAAGCCGUGCUGUUGAGCUGCCUCCAGACCCUGGAAAUGAGGCAAACAAACUUGCCUGGCCUUCAACCUGGACUAGAAACCAUUCAGCUGCAGGUUGCACAACACAGGAUCAUCUGCACUGGGAAUCAAUAAAAAGGGGAGAUACAAGGACAUGGAAAUAAAAGCUCAGUCAAUAGGGAGUCCGUCCUGCUCCCCUGCACCAACUAUCAGCUCAGCAGAACGCUUCAGCUGCGUGAUUCAGGGGAUGCUCCUGUAAGAUCUCUUCCAUACCUGCUGCCAGUCAGUGCAGAUGCCCUUUUGGAAGUGCCUGAAUAAAGCCUGCGUGUGGAAAUGUGGCCAAGGCAGUUGCACCUCCAAGAACAGUUGGAGUGAGGACCACUGGGAGAGAAACAUCUGGAAGUCCUGUCUGCAAGUGCCUUGUCUGCUUGGAGAUGUGCUCAGGCAGAGCCCAUGUGAGGCACCUCCUAAAAUGAGCAUUGCUGGGAGCUCUGGUGUGCUGGGUGCUGGAGCUGCUCUGAUGCGCUUCGUCACAGCACCCCUGGGCUGCCGUGGCUGCAGCUCAGGCUGGUGGGGGGUGAUGCAGGUGAGUUGUGCUGGGCCACCAUGGGCUUUGGUGGCAGAGCCACAUGGCCUCACGCUGCUGGUGUUUGGCUUGGGCUGCAGGGAGGAGAGGUGAGGAGAAGGGACCUGUGGGCACUGCAGCCUCGGGACUGCAGCCCGGCCGUGAGCCAGAGCAUCAGCUGUCCCGGGCUGACCAGGGCUCACCUGAGCUCCUUCUGUCCAGGUAAUCUUUUAAUUGCAAGCUUUUGCUUUUCAUUUCUUGACUAUUUAUACUCUGAAAAUUUCACAGCUAGCAGUUAGUCUGAGUAGUGGCAAUGCAUCAUAACUCCUACCUGUUCUCUCUAUCGAAUGACUCCAGGUGAUACUUUAUAUCUUAUUACGAUUAUUUAUUAUGAUGUCCAGUUUAGUUCUGUAGCAGAGGGACAUCAUUAACCUCCCCUGCAGUAAAGAGAACUCUCCAUGUUGUUUUUCAAAGCCAUUAAAGCUUUGAAAACUCUUUUUUUUCCCCCCUCAAACCCUCCAGGGCUGCAGAAUAAAUGCUGACACAGGUCAGCUAACGGAGGAGGAGCACAAACCCUCCCGCUGCGUCUCACUGAACUGCACACGGAGCUCCAGAGGAAGCAAGAAGUUAUCUGCUUGUUAGAAAACACACGUCUGCUGCUGGGAACUGGAGGCAGAUUUGCAUGGUGGUAGCUCCUGGAAACGUGGAUCCACUCUGGAGACUGUGUUUGUCUCAGGACUGAGAGGUGAUCCCUGUUAAAAUCCUGUCUGUGUAAGAGGGAUGCUCACACCCUACAAAGUCUCCUUGCUUCCCAUCUUGUGUUCCUCCAUACCCAGAAGAUCCUGGAAUAAGAUGUUCCCCAUCUCCUUGUAACCACAGGCUGCUUUGACAUGAUGGCUGGUGGCAGUAAAGCCUUUGUAGAUGUCCCUGUUUUUUGGAAGCCUGUUGUGCUGACCAUAUGGCUGGGGAAUACAGAGGCUACAUUUGUGAUGGGAUGCUAAUGAAUUGGUAGCUUCAUCUGGCCUGUCUGUGCCUCUCAAAAACCAGAAAAUGCUGUUCAUUAAGCUCUUGUUAAAGUGCCAUCAUAGAGAGAAAAGCAUCUCUAUAUACACAUUAAAAAAGCUGCAGUCCCUUGUUGUUCUCUUCCCAGGUCUUCCAGAUGAAAUUGUCUCCAUUUGUAAGCCAGGAGAUAUUUUCCUAAUGGCUGUGACUACAUUGCUGUUGUUCUGGCUGCACAAACCUGCUCCUGUAGCUGUGCUGCAUCUCAGGAGGGGUGGUUACUUCCUUUCCUACUAAGCAGACACUGUGACUUGAGGGAAUAUUGGGAAUGAGGAACUGUUUUCACAUGGCCACCUACCCCAGGCAUCUGUGUCUCCCAUGCACCUGCUUGCAGCACCUCCAUCCCCAUGUCCCAAGGAGCUCUCUCCCAUGUCAAAUGGUGCCUGCAAAUGAGACUUCAUCACACAUGGAAUCAUUCUUAGUGCCAUUUAAAAGGCUGAGGUGUUGAAGCCCAAAAGAAGUUGAAGGGUGUGCCUACCUGGGAACUCACCUUGGGCUGUAGGUGCUGGAGCAGAGCAUCCAUCACCCCAGGGUUAAGUGGGCAGGGACCCCUUGGCAUUGUGAGCAGAUGAAUAAUUAUGGCAUAUUAAUAUUAUCUGUAGCUCUUCCAGCAGACUGUGUUGGAACUUUGCUGCCUGACCAGAAAUCCUCCCUGGCUCGUCUGCAGGAGCUUUCAGCCUCCCGUGUCACCUGGAUGAGCUGGACAGAGGGGCCUGGACCUGCAAAACACAGGCUGCUCACUGCUGUGUCUCACAGGGGAAUAUCUGUAGCUGUGGGCUGGCUCGUUCCCCUGCUGCCCAGGGCUCCUAAUCCAGCUGCCCUCUGCUCCAGCCCAGGGCAAGAGCCUGUAAUGAACAUGUUACACAAGUGCUUGGGAAUGGACCUGGAAUCUCGCUUUCAAGUAGGAUUUUCGUGUGUGUGUGUGUGUCUGAGCGAUCUCUGGGCGUUCAGAAGUGAAGGGGAUCGCUUCCCAGCAGCUGUGCUUUGGUUAAGCACCUUCCUGAUGGGAUGGCUGGAAAUGCUGGUGGCUCAGAGCUCACACUUAGGAGCCCCUCGGUUGUGGAGUGAGUUUGGGAACCUGGAGGGAUGGAGCAUCACCCAGCCAUGUGUCCUCUGGAGAUGGCAGCAGGGAAACGGGGCCGUUUGGUGGCACUGCUGUCACUCGGUGCUGGGCUGCAGCAGCUCUCAGCACAGCCCAGCCUGCCCAGGGGUCCCCAGUCCUGAGGGUGGGCUCAGAGACUGAACAAGUGGGAAUUAAAAUGACUCUGUUUCUCUUUCUAGAAGCACCAGACAAGACUGAGGGUUGUAUGUGGGUGUCGUCUCUGGCCUGCUGGGCUCAGUGGGAGUCGUUUGGUUUGGCUUGUCCUGGCUAAGUCCCACUUCAGGAGCAGCCAGGCUGUGGGUUCAGCCCAGCUGGGAUGCUCCCAGUGCCCAUGAGGACGGCGUCUGUGUGUGAUGAACACGGUGGUUUCCCUGCCUGUGAUGAGCCUCAUUUCCCCCAGCUCCCAUAUGGAAGGUUGCAAUGGCAGCAGGAUGUGGUGGGCUGCACCGGGGUGGAUGUCGCGAAGCAGCGAUGAUGGAAGUGGCUUCAGAGUGAAGCUGUUAUUGAUGAAGGCUCCAACCAGGGAAGAACUGUUCCUCUGGAUCUUUACUGAAACCCCCCCAUUCUGGCUCAUACCUUGCACAAAGAGCUGCUGGUUUCGAAGCCCAGAGCCAGGGUGUCCUGGCAGAGCUCAUACCUCCUGGCAAGGGCCCUCUGUCCUCACAGCUGCAUGAGGAGGGUCCCACAGGAGCACCCUGGGAACCCCCAAGCAGGGACCCCCCUGGAUGCUGCACCCAGCCACCCGGCACGGGAGCAAAAGGCUCAACAGCCACAGCUGACAGCGUGAGGAAGAGAAGGCUGUGGAAGACCUGGGUAGUAAUCAAGGCUAAUUUGUUGAUUUGCUGUCUGGAAUCAUUUCUGGCAGUACUUUUCCUCCCCCUCCCCACAAUUUGCUGCCAGCACGAGCCCUCCAUCCUCCCCCAGCCCCGCGCCGGCUCCUGCUGCCUGAUGACGGGCUGUCAGGAUGAUUGAUGUGUUCUUGCUGGAGAAGGUGAGUCCCUCUGCCGUGACAGCCGGGUCUGGCAGCCAGGCAGAGCCUCACCCUGCAUGGCACCCUCCUCCUCAGGUACUUGUGUUUGCCUGCACAGUCCUGCCAAGGUCAGAAGCCCCCGAAACUCGGGCGUCCUCCCCGCAGCAGCCCCUUGGGUGGCUGGAUGAGGGCUGCAGGAGGGGCUGCUCGAGGCAGCCACAGCUUGGGCAGCUGGGCAAGGGCUGGGGUUGCCCCUCGCAGCAGGUCACUGAGGGACCUGGGCUCUGUCCUGCUCUGGCUGGGGAUGGAAGGUGCUCAUUUGGCCACUCAAGAUGUGGUGAUGUGGCUUCUCUAAGGUCAAACAGCAAGUUUCCCAGUGCUCCCAGGCACGUGGCCCUGGAGCCUCCCUGGCCUUGGCAGCUCUGCAGAAGCUCCCAAGAGUUAUUUUGGGGUUUCAUUUGUUAAGUCCUGGGUUAUUUUGCUCCUUGUUGGAGGUGGGUGCCAAGCCCCAGCCUCCUGCUGCAGGGAAGCAGGGGGGAGGCAUCAAAGGGCAAAAGGGACGAAGGUCCUCAGAGCAACACCAGAGACUUUCCCACUGAUGCCUGGGGCAAAGGGGAAUUCAGCCCUGCUUGGAGCUCAGCUGGUGUCUGGGAUGGGGCAUCUGCCCCAGGGAAGGGCAGGAGCAGAUGCUGCAGGAUUUUGAAAGCUAUGAAUUCAGAACGUGUUAAUGAGGAGAACCAUCAGCAAUUCAAACUGAUCACCCACAGGAGCCUUGUGCAGGAAAAUACACCACAGAGUGCAAAGAACACGGCCUGAAAUCCCAGAGCACAGGCUGGGCUCUGUUCCCUGAGGGACCACGGCCAGCAGAGCCUGGGGAUCUUUGCUGAGGCUGAGGAGGGAAACCCAACUGGGAUGGGUGUUUGUUUCAGCCCUGAGACACUCUGUGAGCGUGUGGAUGGGGCAGCUGAGGUGUGUUGGAACGUGGGGAUCUCCUGUGCUUAUUCACACACUUUGCUGGAGAACUGUGUGGGAAAACCAGGAUAAGCCCAGUUUAAGCAGACUCCUCCAGAUACCCAGCGUGGCUGACUGGGACUGGGCCACUGCAGCCCAUCAGCUUCUCCUCAGCACGUGCUGCUCCUGCCUGGUGCCUGUGGCUUUGUGCAGUGCUGCCAGGAGAAAAUACCAUACACCAGGAAAAAAAUCUGCCUUAAGUCUUUGCAAAGCCCCAGAUAAUGCACUGCCAGAGAGAACAACCGGGAGCAAAAAUAAUUGCUCUCCUCUUUUUCUCCAGCUUUUCUUAUCAACGACUUUAUCACCUUUGGUUUUAUUUUACACCUUAUUUAGACUUUACUGUAAUCCCAGCUAUUUCAAAAUUGACACCUCCUUAAUACCUUGUCUAACACCUCUGACACCUCUGGCUAAUGCCCAGGCCCUUCUGGAGCACAAAGCAGCUGCAUGGAGAACGGGGAAAAGCUACAAUGGAGAGAGAGACAGAGAUAUUAUUUACUGCCCAGGCUCUAUGAAUAAUAACCUCUGAUGGGAAAGGGUGGGGGCCAGCUUCCCUCUGCAGCUGAACUUUGGUUCUGCCCCCAUUAGUCUGCAUCUGCCCCUGUCUUACUGCUGGAGGCUCCUGCAGCAAGUGUUAUAUGGGCUGGAGACAUGGGAGGAUUCAUUGUUUGGGGGAAGCUGCAACCCAGAAAGGCUCAACUUUAGUGAACUGAGGCAAAUGGAUUCUUCUGAGCCACCCUGUGCCAUGCUCAGCCCCGUGCAGGCUGUGCCCUCUGGGGGGGUGCUGCUGGCAGGGUGGGUUUGGCAUGGUGGGUGCUGUGCCACGCUCUGGCCCUCGCUGCCAGCCCUCACGCUGCCUGCUGGGGGCUGAUUCCAGGGCUGAACAUCUCCCCUGUCUGCAGGGAAUCCCUCUUUUGCAAUAGCAAGAGUUAAUAAAGAGCUCUCAAAUAUCCCUGCUGUUUGGGUUGGCAGGAGCUCCAGCAGGGUGCUGGGGCACCAGAGGGGUCCCUGGUGCCUCUGCUCCCUCCAGUGCCCCCAGCAGCCCUGACAUUUCCUGGCAGUCUGACCUGGAAGAAAUCCUGUUACAAGCCCAGCACUGGUGAUAAAACAGCAAUGCACUUUUUCUCUCCUCCAGUCUCUGAGCCUGAACAGUGUUGCUGCAUUACCUACAUUUAACUACCCAUUACACAACCUGUAUCUCUAAAGAGAGGGAUCUGGCAGCUUUAUUAUAAGUUUAUUACAUGCUAAUUCAAGCAAAUAAAUUUGCUCCAGCUGUGGAGCAAAGGAGAUUAAUAACCUUGGAGAUCACUUUGCUGCUUUGAUGAGUUUCUUGAACAGAGCAGAGUAUA
Molecule: long non-coding RNA, 6514 nt
Organism: Colius striatus (speckled mousebird)
Lineage: Eukaryota; Metazoa; Chordata; Aves; Coliiformes; Coliidae
Exons: 9
Source: RefSeq, a predicted model, not a curated record